AUUAAACGCUGGCGGCAUGCCUUACACAUGCAAGUCGAACGGCAGCACGGGGCAACCCUGGUGGCGAGUGGCGGACGGGUGAGUAAAGCAUCGGAACGUAUCCUGGAGUGGGGGAUAACGUAGCGAAAGUUACGCUAAUACCGCAUAUUCUGUGAGCAGGAAAGCAGGGGAUCGCAAGACCUUGCGCUCUGGGAGCGGCCGAUGUCGGAUUAGCUAGUUGGUGGGGUAAAGGCCUACCAAGGCGACGAUCCGUAGCGGGUCUGAGAGGAUGAUCCGCCACACUGGGACUGAGACACGGCCCAGACUCCUACGGGAGGCAGCAGUGGGGAAUUUUGGACAAUGGGCGCAAGCCUGAUCCAGCCAUGCCGCGUGAGUGAAGAAGGCCUUCGGGUUGUAAAGCUCUUUCGGCCGGGAAGAAAUCGCAUGGGUCAAUACCCCGUGUGGAUGACGGUACCGGAAUAAGAAGCACCGGCUAACUACGUG
RNAcentral lists this ribosomal RNA (483 nucleotides) under uncultured bacterium. RNAcentral's name for it is "bacterial SSU rRNA". It matches the Rfam family "Bacterial small subunit ribosomal RNA", at positions 29 to 507 of the family's 1533-position model. The record is from RNAcentral.